Molecule: ribosomal RNA, 305 nt
Filed under: uncultured bacterium
Lineage: Bacteria
Description: bacterial SSU rRNA
Rfam family: Bacterial small subunit ribosomal RNA
Source: RNAcentral
CCCUACGGGAGGCAGCAGUGGGGAAUAUUGCACAAUGGGGGAAACCCUGAUGCAGCGACGCCGCGUGAGUGAGAAAGUAUUUCGGUAUGCAAAGCUCUAUCAGCAGGGAAGAAAAUGACGGUACCUGACUAAGAAGCCCCGGCUAACUACGUGCCAGCAGCCGCGGUAAUACGUAGGGGGCAAGCGUUAUCCGGAUUUACUGGGUGUAAAGGGAGCGUAGACGGCGCGGCAAGUCUGAAGUGAAAGGCAGGGGCUUAACCCCUGAACUGCUUUGGAAACUGCCAUGCUAGAGUGCUGGAGAGGUA